CCUACGGGAGGCAGCAGUGAGGAAUAUUGGUCAAUGGACGAGAGUCUGAACCAGCCAAGUAGCGUGAAGGAUGACUGCCCUAUGGGUUGUAAACUUCUUUUAUAUGGGAAUAAAAUGUUCCACGUGUCGGAUUUUGUAUGUACCAUGUGAAAAAGGAUCGGCUAACUCCGUUCCAGCCGCCGCGGUAAUACGGAGGAUCCGGGCGUUUUUCGGAUUUAUUGGGUUUAAAGGGAGUGUAGGUGGGUUGUUAAGUAAGUUGUGAAAGUUUUGGGCUCAACCGUAAAAUUGCAGUUGAAACUGGCAGUCUUGAGUACAGUAGAGGUGGGCGGAAUUCGUGGUGUAGCGGUGAAAUGCUUAGAUAUCACGAAGAACUCCGAUUGCGAAGGCAGCUUACUGGACUGCAACUGACACUGAGGCUCGAAAGUGUGGGUAUCAAACAGGAUUAGAUACCCCUGUAGUC
Molecule: ribosomal RNA, 460 nt
Filed under: uncultured bacterium
Lineage: Bacteria
Description: partial 16S ribosomal RNA
Rfam family: Bacterial small subunit ribosomal RNA
Source: RNAcentral